Molecule: long non-coding RNA, 714 nt
Organism: Lampris incognitus (smalleye Pacific opah)
Lineage: Eukaryota; Metazoa; Chordata; Actinopteri; Lampriformes; Lampridae
Exons: 4
Source: RefSeq, a predicted model, not a curated record
CAAUCACCCUCGCUGCGGAGCAGUUGCAGGACAGGCUCCCCGCUCGGCGUUUUCUGCAACCCCGGGACACCCAAAACCGUCUGAACUCUCACGUGGGGGACCAGCACAUCCCGCUCGCGGCCAGGCAUACAGAGGAAGGGGCACACACUCUCUGACACACAGCAUCACCACAGACAUGUCGGACUCCGAAGCCGCCGCUGCCCCCGCCGAGGCCCCGGUCCCUGCCGCCUGCACCGGCAUCAAGGCGGACCUGGACAAAUGUGUGGCGGAGAAAGGGGCGGAGGGCUGCAAGGAUCUGAUGGAGGCCUUCGCUGCCUGUGUGAAAAGUGCUGCUGAUGCGACGUCGUGAGGAGCGGAGCUUCAGCCUCCUAUGACGUCCACUGCACUGAGUCCUCCAUGUUCCCAGCAUUCCCUUCUGCACAGCAGCACUGGACCGGACAUGUUAAAUGGCAGCGUGAUGAAGUUUGUCGAUCCGGGAGGAGUUCGGGAUUUGACAGCAGAAACCGCAAAACUCCCUCCUCCAAACUCCCCCUGUUUUAGACUUCAAUGUUAAAUGGUGUCUUCCAAUAUUUGCCCCCACCCAUCCAUCCCCCUCCACCUUACGUGGCUGAAAUACAUUGAUUUGUAGACAUUUCCAGAGAGCUGAUGGGUUGUAAUGUUUGUCAACUUGAUAUGAAUACAUUUAAAUGGAAAUAAAGUAUAAAAUAAUUGCUA